This 2742-nucleotide ribosomal RNA is filed under the name Triticum aestivum (bread wheat). RNAcentral's name for it is "partial small subunit ribosomal RNA". The record is from RNAcentral. Lineage: Eukaryota; Viridiplantae; Streptophyta; Magnoliopsida; Poales; Poaceae.
AUGAGGAACUUGCACACUCUCGCAAAGAAGAAGCAUGUUGUGAGCAUCGAAGGCGUCAAGUUCAAGAAGGAUCAUUUGUGUGGCGCCUGCGAAGCUGGAAAGAUGACAAGAGCCAAGCAUCCCUCGAAGACUAUCAUGACCACGUCUCAACCCUUCGAGCUGCUCCACAUGGACUUAUUUGGCCCUACUCACUAUUCUACUCUCAAUGCUACUGCCUGCCUCUAUGGCUUUGUCAUUGUUGAUGAUUACUCUCAAUACACUUGGGUGCAUAUAAUCCUCUACAAGACUGAAGUGCAGGAUGUCUUCAGACGUUUUGCCAACCGUGCCAUGACGAACUACGGUGUCAAGAUCAAGCACAUCAGAAGCGACAACGGCACUGAGUUCAAGAACACCGGUCUCGACCUCUACCUGGAUACCAUGGGUAUCACUCAUGAGUUCUUUGCUCCAUACACACCUCAGCAGAAUGGCAUCACCGAGUGGAAGAAUAGAACUCUUAUUGAGAUGGCUCGAACGAUGCUUGAUGAGUACAAGACUCCGCAAAAGUUCUGGCCUAAAGCCAUUGACACUGCUUGUCACAUCAUCAACCGCGUUUAUCUUCACAAGCUUCUGAAGAAAACAUCCUAUGAGCUCCUGACUGGUAAGAAACCCAAUGUAAGCUACUUCGGAGUAUUUGGUGCUAGGUGCUGGAUCAAGGAUCCUCAUCACACUUCAAAAAUUGCACCGGAAGCACAUGAAGGUUUUAUGCUUGGUUAUGGAAAGGACUCGCACUCCUACAGAGUUUUCAACCUCUUUCACUAUAAAGUGGUUGCAACUGUGGAUGUGCGGUUCGAUGAAACUAACGGCUCGCAAAGAGAGCACCUGCCAAAUGUGCUAGAUGAGUUAUCCCCAAGUGAGUCAAUCAAGCAAAUGGGAACUGGCGAAAUCAUACCCACUGAGAGUCUGUCUGAAGAGGAACUUGUCAUUUCUGCACCUGAUCAACCCGAAGACAAUGCUCAGCCCAAAGACAAUUCCCAAAACGAUGACAAUGAUCAGAAAGAGCAAAAUCUUCGUCCUGCUCAUCCUCGUGUUGUAAAUGAAGUACAGAUUGAGAAGAUGAUUGAUAGCCUCAAUGCACCUGGUCCACUCACUCGUUCAAGAGCCACACAAAGAGCAACACAACUCACCAAUUUUUGUGGACACUUUGCAUUCGUCUCAAUCUCAGAACCCACAAAAGUGACUGAAGCCUUCAUGGAACCUGAAUGGAUUCAAGCCAUGCAAGAAGAGCUUCAACAAUUUGAGUUGAACAAUGUGUGGGAACUGGUCAAGCGUCCUGAUCCUCGGAAGCACAAUAUCAUUGGCACCAAAUGGAUAUAUCGCAACAAGCAAGAUGAACAUGGUCAAGUGGUCAGAAACAAAGCUCGUCUAGUUGCUCAAGGCUACACUCAAGUGGAAGGGAUUGGCUUUGAUGAAACUUUUGCUCCUGUGGCAAGGCUUGAAGCUAUUCGCAUACUGCUUGCCUAUGCAAAUCAUCACAACAUUUUCCUAUAUCAAAUGGAUGUGAAGAGUGCUUUUCUCAAUGGAAAGAUAGAAGAAGAAGUAUAUGUUGCACAACCUCCUGGCUUUGAAGAUCCAAAACAUCCUGAUAUGGUGUACAAGCUCAACAAGGCACUGUAUGGCCUCAAACAAGCCCCUCGUGCUUGGUAUGAUACGCUCAAGGACUUCCUGAAGAGCAAAGGCUUCAAAUCGGGUUCUCUAGAUCCCACUCUCUUCACGAAGACAUAUGAUGGUGAACUGUUUGUGUGCCAAAUAUAUGUGGAUGACAUUAUCUUCGGCUGCACCAACAAGAAAUACAGUGAUGAGUUUGGUCAUAUGAUGCAAGAGCAAUAUCAGAUGUCCAUGAUGGGAGAGCUGAAGUCCUUUCUCGGUCUUCAAAUCCGUCAGCAAUGCAACGACAUCUUCAUAUCUCAAGAAAAAUAUCUCAAAGAUUGCCUGAAGAAGUUUGGAAUGCAAGACUGCAAAGGAUACACGACGCCAAUGCCAACCAAAAGUCAUCUGGGUCCCGACGACAAUGGUAAGGUAUUCGACCAAAAGGUAUACUGCUCCAUGAUUGGUUCUUUGUUUUAUUUAUGUGCAUCUAGGCCAGAUAUCAUGCUUAGUGUUUGCAUGUGUGCCCGAUUCCAAGCGGCACCAAAGGAAUCGCAUCACUUAGCUGUGAAGCGAAUACUUCGAUAUUUGGCUUACACCCCAACACUAGGAUUAUGGUAUCCAAAGGGCUCAGAGUUUGAUCUAGUUGGAUUCUCAGAUGCUGAUUAUGCUGGUGACAAGGUUGAUCACAAGUCCACAUCAGGCACACGUCACUUUCUGGGACGAUCACUUGUCUGUUGGUCUUCAAAGAAGCAGAACUGUGUAUCUCUCUCCACUGCUGAAUCCGAAUACAUUGCUGCUGGAUCAUGCUGUGCUCAGCUUCUCUGGAUGAAGAAAACUCCCAAGGACUAUGGUAUACAUCUGAAGAAUGUGCCUCUCUACUGCGACAAUGAGAGUGCCAUCAAGAUUGCCAAUAAUCCAGUUAAGCACUCGAAGACAAAGCACAUUGAGAUUCGUCAUCACUUCCUCAGGGAUCAUGUUAUGAAGGAAGAUAUUGAUAUCAUUCACGUCAACACUGAAGAGCAAUUGGCUGAUAUCUUCACAAAGCCCUUGGAUGAGAAAAGGUUUUGCAAGUUGUGGUGUGAGCUAAAUAUCUUGGAAUCCUCAAAUGUCCUGUGA